CAAUAUUCAUACCCCAUGCUCCUACAUCAGAAACUGGAGACUUCUUUUCCUUCUCCAUUUUUUUUCUCAGAUCCAAGCUCAAAUCAACAAACCGUUUUCUGUUUUUUUUUUCUUUGUUUAUGCAACAAUAUGAAGAGAGGUGGACAACCAAAGCAGACAGAAUUGCAGGCUGCAGAAGUCACUCACCUCCCUCUGAGAGCCAGCAAGAGUUUUUGAGUUAUAUAAACAUAUACAAAGGCAAAAACCCAAUGUAAAAGACAAAGGUGAAGGCUAGGCUAUAUUGGCUGGCCUCAUAUUCUC
This 300-nucleotide long non-coding RNA is filed under the name Prunus persica (peach). RNAcentral describes it as "long non-coding RNA (PPER_LNC008433)". Lineage: Eukaryota; Viridiplantae; Streptophyta; Magnoliopsida; Rosales; Rosaceae. The record is from RNAcentral.